CAGAGAGAGAGAGAGAGAGAGAAGCAGGCUCCCGCUGAGCAAAGAGCCCGAUGCGGGGCUCGAUCCCAGGACACUGAGAUCAUGACCUGAGCCGAAGGCAGCGGCUUAAUCCACUGAGCCACCCAGGCGCCCCUUCCUUUAACUUUUUAAAAACAUGAAAAAUACCAAAGUAUAGCGCACAGAAGAGUGAACCAAGCAACUUCCACGUCUGGUAGUGAUGGAGUAAUUGGUAUGAAACCUGCUUUCCCACCAUAAACAGUUGUAAAACUGGACAAACUAAUGAAACAACCAGGAGGAUCCAUUUCCUUUCUCAUUUGGGUUGUUGGUAGAUUUCAUUUCCUUGUAGGUUAUGAAUUUAAUGUCCACGUCACCUGCAUGCUGUAGACUGGGGGAUAUUCCCAGCUUCUAGAGGCUACCGAGUUUUUGUUUUAUCCCCUUUCCUCCAACUUCAAAGUCAGAAAUGGCAGGUUGAGUCUUCGUCAUGUUUCAUCUCUCUGACCUGUUCUGCUCCCACCUUCUAUUUUUUUAAAAGAUCUUAUUUAUUUAUUUGACAGAGAUCACAAGUACGCAGAGAGGCAGGUAAAGAGAGGGGGAAGCAUGUUCCCUGCUGAGCAGAGAGCCCAAUGCAGGGCUUGGUCCCAGGACCCUGAGAUCAUGACCUGAGCCAAAGGCAGAGGCUUAACCCACUGAGCCACCCGGGUGCUACCCCCCCCCAUCUUCUAUUUUUAAGAGUCCUUAAAAAUGCGUGGUUUGACUGGGCCUAUGUGGGUGAUAUAGAAUGAUCUCCCUAUCCUACAUAAACUGAUUAGGAACUUUAAUUCCCUCUUCAGCCUUAACGCUUCUCCAUGUAACAUAACAUUCACAGGUUCUGAGGAUCAAGAGUUGGACAUCUUGGUGGGGAGCCAUUAUUCAGCCUACCACACCCAGAUGUGCUCUCUAACUGGAACCAAACUAGGAAUCGGUAAUAGAAAUGCAACAGGGAAAUCAAAACAUUUGGAAAGAAAACUUUAGCACUAUUAAGUAAUCCAUGGAUCAAAGAGAAAAUUUCAAAGGAAAAUUUUAAAAUAUAUAGAAUUGAAUAACAGUACAACAUACGUGGGACUCAUUGAAGGCAUUGCUGGAAGGGAAAUUUUUUUUAUAUAGUAGCUUAGUUGAUAUGUAAUUUACCCUUUUAAAGUAUGCAACUCAGUGGUUUUUAGUACAUUCACAGAGUUGUGCCUCCACCACCACGAAUUUAUUUUCAUCACCCCAAGAAGAAACCCUGUAACUGUUUGCAGUUACUUCCCAUUCCCCAUGUUCCUCUCUGCCUCUCGGUCCUAGAAAUAACUAAUCUACUUUCUGUUUCUGUGGAUUUGCGUAUUCUUCUCACAUGUAAAUGUAAUCUUACAAUAUGUGGCUUUUUGUGACCGGCUUGUUUCACUUAACAUGUUUUCGAGGUUCAUCCAUGUUGUGGCAUCUAUCAGUACUUGAUUCCUUUUAAUUUCCCCCAAAGAUUUUAUUUAUUUAUUUGUCAGAGAGCCAGAGCACACAAGUGGGGGAAGCUGUAGGCAGAGGGAGACGCGGGCUCCCCACUGAGCAAGGAGCCAGAUGUGGGACUCGAUCCCAGGGCCCUGGGAUCAUGAUCUGAGCCGAGGGCAGCUGCUUAACUGUCUGAGCCACCCAGGCGUCCCAGUACUUCAUUCCUUUUAUUAAUCAAGUAAUACUGUGUUGUUUGUUCACCCAUUCAACAACUGAGGGACAGUGGAGUAGUUCACAAUUCUAUUGGUUGUUGUGAAUAAGGGUUCUGGGACUGGUCCUGUGCAGGUUCUUUUGUAACCAUAUGUGUCCAGUUCUCCUGGGUAUAUACACCCAGAGUCCUAUAGUAACUCACUUUUACCAUUUUGAGUUAAUAACAAAAUUCUUUUCCAAAAUGAAACCAUUCUCCAAUCCCAUGAAAGAGAAAUUUUUAAAACUAGAAAAGAGGAAAGUUCUCAAAUCAAUAACUUAAGUUUCUCUCUUGAAGCAACUAGAAAACAAAAAGCAAAAUGAAACCAAAGCAGAAGGAAGGAGAUAAUAAAAAUGAGGGCAGAAAUCCCCCAAAUUGAGGGGUGCCUGGGUGGCUCAGUUGAUGAAGCAUCUGACUCUUGAUUUUGGUGGUGAGAUCAAGCCCUGCAGCGGGUUCCGUGCUGCGAAUGGAGCCUGCUUAAGAUUCUCUCUUCCCCCUCUCCCCUCUCCCUGCUAGUUCUCUCUUAAAAAAAAAAAAAUCACUGAAAUUGUAAACAGGAAAACAAUAGAGAAAGUGAAACAAUAAGUGAUUGUUCUGGGCGCCUGGGUGGCUCAGUUGGUUAGAUGACUGCCUUCGGCUCAGGUCAUGAUCCUGGAGUCCCAGGAUCGAGUCCUGCAUCGGGCUCCCAACUCCCUGGGGAGUCUGCUUCUCCCUCUGGCCUUCUCCCCUCUCAUGCUCUCUCUCUUUCUCUCAAAUAAAUAAAUAAAAUCUUUUUUAAAAAAGUGAUUCUUCUAAAAUAAUAAAAUUGAUAAAGCUCUAGCAAGGUUGACAAAGAUAAAAAGAGAAGACAUAAAUACCAAUAUCAGGAACCAGACUAUAGAUCCUGCAGAUGCAGAAAGAAUUAAAGAGGAGUAUCAGGAACAACUUGGCACUCCUAAAUUUGAAAACUUAGAAGAAAGGUGCCAAUUCCUCCAAACCACAAAGUACCUGUGAUGGUAAAUUUUACGUGUCCUCUUGACUGGGCGAAGGGAUGCCCAGAUAAAUAAUCUAACAUUAUUUGUGGAAAUGUCUGUGGGGGGUGUUUCAUGGAGCUGCUUUGCUCGCACGUGUGGAGAGCUGGUGUUGCCUGAGUUGACGUUCCCCCUCACAAAAGCCUGUUCCUCCUCACCUGCAAGCCAUGCGUGGUCUUUUCCCAAUGAUUGACCGAUGUGGGAGCAUGAAAGUUUGGUUCCUCUGGCUUAAGUAGAGACAAACUUUUGAGUCAAAAUUUAUGCUCAGAGUCCCCCACGUGGAUCAUACUGAAGCAAUCCUCCACAGGGAUCUUGCCAGAAAUUAUGCACUUGGUUAGCUUUUUCCUGUUUCCUGUUACGCUUCCUCCGUUCUCUUGUCGGGUUCUCUGGGGAACACUUCUUAAAGUUCGUUGCAUGGAUAUGGGGGUGCCUGGGUGACUUAGUUGUGUCAGUGUGUCACUUUGGCUCAGGUCAUGAUCUCAGGGUUGUGAAAUUGAGCCCCAUGUUGGGUUCUGCUCAGUGGGAAGUCUGCUGGAGAUUCUCUCUGGCCCUCUCUGGCCCUCGCCCCUGUGCUCUUUCUCUCUAAAAGAAAUAAUCAAUCAAGAAAAUUCCAUGUGCGUGAAUUCUCAUCUCAACAUUUGCUUCUGGAGAACCCACCCCGAGACAAGGGGGGCUCCUUAUUCUUUAUUCCCCAGGUUUCGGGUAGGGGGACAUUUAUUAAAGUAACACUUCUUUAUGUCCUUCACUCACUUUCCUCCCUGCGGGGGAGGAGUGACAUGCUGAACUGUGAGUUUGGGACUAGGAAUUUCAUAUCUGUUGAUAAUCAGAUACUCUGUGAACCCGUAGGUAGUGGUGCCGGCUGCGGCCUUCCUUGUGGGCAGCUAAGGCAAGUCCAUACUUGGCAUGUGUGUCAGCCUCUGCCAGAAUGAACUACUGACCUUUCCAAAGGGAAGAGGUCAAGAUAAAAUCAUUUUGACGCCAAGUCCGUGGUUGCUGUCCUCAGGGGAUGGUGUCAUAUUGGGGAUUUAUCUCUGGUCUGUGUUGCUGGAAGGUCAGAUACCUGACCACAGCAAUAUGUCAAUACAUCUUGGGAAGAGGAAGGCCAUGCUGCCAGACCCGUGCGUAGCCUCCGUCACAUCAGCCGGCCAGUUCGUCCUGUCGUCUUGGCCAUUUAGUGCUGCUGCUGCUCUCUGGUGGGUGUCGAUGUGAAAAGACAAAACUCUUCGUGUUGUGCCAUUCCCCUAAGUCCACCCAUGUGCCUCUUUCUUAGACGUCCUUGACCCCAGUCUUCUCAUCUUUCCGUUCCAAACCCCUGACCAGCCAACCAGAUCCGCUGUGGCCAUGAACCAGUAUGUGUCAUAACGCCAGGACACUUCUUCCACACAGAGAGGAUGGAUGACCAAGUGUGCCACCAAAAGCCCUCCCCGUGUCUUUUCUAGAAAUCCCUGAGUGUGGCCAGAGGGAAGCAGCUGCACAGCCGACCCAUCCACGAGCCAGGACGCCAUGUUUUGGGAGUCAUCUCCUUAGACACCUGUGGGUCAGGCUUGGUGACAUCCGACCUUCCUGCGCUCUGUGAAACCUGGAGACUUAAGGUCAUAGGACCUGGAAGGACCUGCCUCAAGAAGUCUAACCCCUCUAACAGUUGGGAAACUUCGUCUAUGUAACUGUAUUCCGGAAGAAAGACAGGCUGUCACCUAGCUGAAAGGUACACUGUCAAGUGCUGCUGAUCACCCACAUGGUCAGCAAAGUAAAGGAGAAACUUAGCUUUCACCACAGGAAGUCAGCACCCAAGGAAGACUGCACUGUGGUUCCUACAAAGGACCUUUCUAGAAUAAUGGAUAUUGAUAGUGAACUUUAAUGAAAAGAGAUAGUCUAGAAAAUUGAUUACUGUUCUCAUAGGCUACAUUGAUGUCCCCCUCCUGGAAGUGGUUAUUACCAUUACUUGAAAGAAUCACAAUUACUUAAAAAAAAAAAAGAAUCACAAUUACUAAGAAAAAAAGUGUUGGUACACUACUCUUUCUUUCUGCACUCCAAGUAAUGGUUCCCACAACCACGUAUUCCGGAUAGCUCUACAUCAGGCUCUUGGUAUGGGCAUGAUCUGGGUUUCCAAAUCCAACAUUCUGAUUAUUGGCACAGUGCAGGAGGGACCAUCUUUAUUAGUAAUUUUUAACUAUAACAAACUCGAAGUCGUUACUGUGCCUCUGUGUCCUCAAUCUCUCAAUUUAACACAGGUAUCUUUUGUUGACUGGUUUGAUCGGAGGGUUGAUGUAGAAAAUAAAAAAGCAAAAACAAUGAAUUAACAAACACUAGAAAUCGAAACUGCGGAAGUCAGAUCUGAUAUCACGAGAUUAACCUUGGGAGGUAAGUUCUCUCUGGUCCCAGUAUAGAUGGAUAAACAAAAUGAAUGCCUGCUAUGUCUGGUCAGUUGACUGUUCAAGAAUAUAAGCACUGAUUUAGACUAAUGUGAAAAAUGACCCCAUAGGAGCGGUGUAUCCUCAAGACUUAAGACAUUACACACAUACAGUAAACACCAGAGGUUCUGUCCAUAUCUUGAACUGCUGCCUCAUCAUAGGACUCAAGGGGUCCCUGGGUGGCUCAGUCAGUUAAGCAUCUGACUCUUGGUUUCUGCUCAGGUCAUGGUCUUAUGGGAUGUAGGAUCCAGCCCCACAUCAGACUCCACGCUCAGUAGGGGAUCUGCUUGAAGAUUCUCUCCCUCUGCCCCUCCCCACCUCUCUCCCUCUCUCUUUCUCUCUCUGUGUCUCUCUAAAAUAAACCUUUUAAAAAGUAAUAAGACUUUGAUACUAGAUGAUGGGCAUGGGAAUCUUUGUAUUUCAAAUCUUGAAAAAAAUUAUUUGGAAAGAUCGAACAUUUACUGAAAGGCCUAAAUUAUGUGAUAAUGAUGUUGCUUAUGUCAUUGAUGGACCUCGGUGAAAAUUUAUUGGCCUUAAAAGGAAAAAAAAAUUUUUUUUUAAAGAUUUUAUUUAUUUAUUUGACAGAGAGAAAUCACAAGUAGAUGGAGAGGCAGGCAGAGAGAGAGAGAGAGAGGGAAGCAGGCUCCCUGCCGAGCAGAGAGCCCGAUGCGGGACUCGAUCCCAGGACCCUGGCACCAUGACCUGAGCCGAAGGCAGCGGCUUAACCCACUGAGCCAACCAGGCGCCCCGGAAAAAAAAAUUUUUAAAUAGUGUAUUUAUUUCUUUGAGAGAGAGAGGGAGCAGGAGCACAAGCAGGGGGAGGGACAGAGGGAGAGGGAAAAGCAAACUCCUCACUGAGCAGGGAGCCUGAUGCAGACUCCAUCCCAGGCCUCUGGCAGCUUGACCUGAGCCAAACGUAGACGCUUAAUGGACUGAGCCACCCAGGCGUCCUUCUAUCGCACUUUUGAGGAUUGCUUUGCUUUGUGUUUUUCUAUGCAUUUGCUUGAUUUAGAUGGUUUCAUCUUCUCCAGAGAAAGGAAAAAAAUGGUGAUGAUUAAAACAUUUUCACCGCGAUUAUUUUAUAUUAACACAGGGAGGAGAUUAUAAGGACAAAUAAACAGUUAAAAUAAGGGGUUUAGGGGCACCUGAGUGGCUCAGUGGGUUAAGCGUCUGCCUUCAGCUUAGGUCAUGAUCUCAGGGUCCUAGGAUCGAGUCCUGCGUUGGGCUCUCUGCUCACCGGGGAGCCUGGUUCCCAUUCUGUCUCUGCCUGCCU
Long non-coding RNA from Mustela lutreola (European mink), 6399 nucleotides. RefSeq lists it as uncharacterized. NCBI's taxonomy places the organism in Eukaryota, Metazoa, Chordata, Mammalia, Carnivora, Mustelidae. The record is from RefSeq and is a predicted model, not a curated record. The transcript has 3 exons.